This 328-nucleotide long non-coding RNA is filed under the name Coffea arabica (coffee). Its description in RNAcentral is "long non-coding RNA (CARA_LNC003738)". The record is from RNAcentral. Lineage: Eukaryota; Viridiplantae; Streptophyta; Magnoliopsida; Gentianales; Rubiaceae.
CGGAGGGUCAAUGAGGUUCAAUCAAGAAUGCAAGCGAGGAAAGGGGCUCUUGAGAGCCGCCCGUAUCCUUUUAUCAACUCUAUUAAUGUGUGCUCUUGGUUUACUUUUGAUGAUUUGAAAUGAAAAGCUUUAUGCUUAUAUGAACUUGGUUGCUUGAGUGAUAGUAUCUCAUUGGGCGUAAGCUCACUCUAUUCCGUUUGUUUUCCUUACAGGAAAUUGAAUACUUUUGGAAAGGCGAUGAAUAUGGAUUGCCGAGUUGAGCUUAUGUAUAUAUAUAUUUUGAAUAGCUCCUUUUGGGCAAAACCCUAAACUCAUUUUGACCCAACCC